RNAcentral lists this ribosomal RNA (520 nucleotides) under uncultured Glomus. Its description in RNAcentral is "SSU rRNA". It matches the Rfam family "Eukaryotic small subunit ribosomal RNA", at positions 569 to 1092 of the family's 1831-position model. Lineage: Eukaryota; Fungi; Glomeromycota; Glomeromycetes; Glomerales; Glomeraceae. The record is from RNAcentral.
AGCAGCCGCGGUAAUUCCAGCUCCAAUAGCGUAUAUUAAAGUUGUUGCAGUUAAAAAGCUCGUAGUUGAAUUUCGGGAUCAAUAUGUCGGUCGUGCUUCGGUACGUACUGGCGUUAUUGGUUUCUCCCUUCUGAAGAACCGCGAUGUCGUUAAUUUGGUGUCGUGGGGAAUCAGGACUGUUACUUUGAAAAAAUUAGAGUGUUUAAAGCAGGCUCGCGCUUGAAUACAUUAGCAUGGAAUAAUGAAAUAGGACGUUUGAUUCUAUUUUGUUGGUUUCUAGGAUCGACGUAAUGAUUAAUAGGGAUAGUUGGGGGCAUUAGUAUUCAAUUGUCAGAGGUGAAAUUCUUGGAUUUAUUGAAGACUAACUACUGCGAAAGCAUUUGCCAAGGAUGUUUUCAUUAAUCAAGAACGAAAGUUAGGGGAUCGAAGACGAUCAGAUACCGUCGUAGUCUUAACCAUAAACUAUGCCGACUAGGGAUCGGAUGAUGUUAAUUUUUAAUGACUCAUUCGGCGCCUUACG